This 18-nucleotide non-coding RNA is filed under the name Arabidopsis thaliana (thale cress). Lineage: Eukaryota; Viridiplantae; Streptophyta; Magnoliopsida; Brassicales; Brassicaceae. The record is from RNAcentral.
UGAUCAGAAGGUCGAGGU